RNAcentral lists this ribosomal RNA (483 nucleotides) under uncultured bacterium. Its description in RNAcentral is "partial 16S ribosomal RNA". It matches the Rfam family "Bacterial small subunit ribosomal RNA", at positions 355 to 829 of the family's 1533-position model. The record is from RNAcentral.
UGGGGAAUUUUGGACAAUGGGGGCAACCCUGAUCCAGCCAUCCCGCGUGUGCGAUGAAGGCCUUCGGAUUGUAAAGCACUUUUGGCAGGGAAGAAACAGCCUGGGAUAAUACCCCCGGGCGACUGACGGUACCUGCAGAAUAAGCACCGGCUAACUACGUGCCAGCAGCCGCGGUAAAUACGUAGGGUGCAAAGCGUUAAUCGGAAUUACUGGGCGUAAAGCGUGCGCAGGCGGUUCGGAAAGAAGGGUGUGAAAUCCCAGGGCUUAACCUUGGAACUGCACUUUAACUACCGACUAGAGUACGUCAGAGGGGGGUAGAAUUCCACGUGUAGCAGUGAAAUGCGUAGAGAUGUGGAGGAAUACCGAUGGCGAAGGCAGCCCCCUGGGCCAAUACUGACGCUCAUGCACGAAAGCGUGGGGAGCAAACAGGAUUAGAUACCCUGGUAGUCCACGCCCUAAACGAUGUCAACUAGUUGUUGGGGG